Molecule: long non-coding RNA, 208 nt
Filed under: Oryza brachyantha (malo sina)
Lineage: Eukaryota; Viridiplantae; Streptophyta; Magnoliopsida; Poales; Poaceae
Description: long non-coding RNA (OBRA_LNC001008)
Source: RNAcentral
UUCGUUUUAGUCGUUGUGUGCUAGUUUUGGUGUGUUAGGUUUGCUUCGCUUGGGGCUAGUGGUGAACCAUAGCAGUAGUGGGGUUAUGGUUGUGCCGCCAGGAGUUGUGUGGUUUUAAGUGUGUUUCUUAAGCAAGACAAUUACAGUUCACUAAUUAAAUAAAGCCCCUGUUUGCUUAGUCGUUUCUUUUUCUUCUUUCUCUUUCUGU